GAGUUUGAUCAUGGCUCAGGAUGAACGCUGGCGGUAUGCUUAACACAUGCAAGUCGAACGAAACCUUUCGGGGUUUAGUGGCGGACGGGUGAGUAACGCGUGAGAAUCUGGCUUCAGGUCUGGGACAACCACUGGAAACGGUGGCUAAUACCGGGAUGUGCCGAGAGGUGAAAGGUUAACUGCCUGAAGAUGAGCUCGCGUCUGAUUAGCUAGUUGGCAGUGUAAUGGACUACCAAGGCGACGAUCAGUAGCUGGUCUGAGAGGACGAUCAGCCACACUGGGACUGAGACGCGGCCCAGACUCCUACGGGAGGCAGCAGUGGGGAAUUUUCCGCAAUGGGCGAAAGCCUGACGGAGCAAUACCGCGUGAGGGAGGAAGGCUCUUGGGUCGUAAACCUCUUUUCUCAGGGAAGAACACAAUGACGGUACCUGAGGAAUAAGCAUCGGCUAACUCCGUGCCAGCCGCCGCCGUAAU
This 474-nucleotide ribosomal RNA is filed under the name uncultured bacterium. RNAcentral's name for it is "bacterial SSU rRNA". It matches the Rfam family "Bacterial small subunit ribosomal RNA", at positions 9 to 524 of the family's 1533-position model. The record is from RNAcentral.